Molecule: microRNA, 24 nt
Filed under: Haemonchus contortus (barber pole worm)
Lineage: Eukaryota; Metazoa; Nematoda; Chromadorea; Rhabditida; Trichostrongylidae
Description: hco-miR-63b
Gene: hco-miR-63b
Source: miRBase by way of RNAcentral
CUAUGACACUGUCGCGAAUUGGGG